CCUACGGGUGGCAGCAGUGGGGAAUAUUGCACAAUGGGCGCAAGCCUGAUGCAGCCAUGCCGCGUGUGUGAAGAAGGCCUUCGGGUUGUAAAGCACUUUCAGCGGGGAGGAAGGCGUUAAGGUUAAUAACCUUGGCGAUUGACGUUACCCGCAGAAGAAGCACCGGCUAACUCCGUGCCAGCAGCCGCGGUAAUACGGAGGGUGCAAGCGUUAAUCGGAAUUACUGGGCGUAAAGCGCACGCAGGCGGUCUGUCAAGUCGGAUGUGAAAUCCCCGGGCUCAACCUGGGAACUGCAUUCGAAACUGGCAGGCUAGAGUCUUGUAGAGGGGGGUAGAAUUCCAGGUGUAGCGGUGAAAUGCGUAGAGAUCUGGAGGAAUACCAGUGGCGAAGGCGGCCCCCUGGACAAAGACUGACGCUCAGGUGCGAAAGCGUGGGGAGCAAACAGGAUUAGAUACCCGAGUAGUC
RNAcentral lists this ribosomal RNA (465 nucleotides) under uncultured Klebsiella sp. RNAcentral's name for it is "bacterial SSU rRNA". It matches the Rfam family "Bacterial small subunit ribosomal RNA", at positions 338 to 795 of the family's 1533-position model. Lineage: Bacteria; Pseudomonadati; Pseudomonadota; Gammaproteobacteria; Enterobacterales; Enterobacteriaceae. The record is from RNAcentral.